Acanthosepion pharaonis is the source of this 98-nucleotide non-coding RNA. Lineage: Eukaryota; Metazoa; Mollusca; Cephalopoda; Sepiida; Sepiidae. The record is from the annotation of a GenBank genome assembly.
UUUAAACAGCAGUUCCCGUAAAAUCAGCGAAGUUAAGCAACGUCGAGCCUGGUUAGUACCGAGAUAGGUGACCGCAUGGGAAUACCAGGUGCUGCAAG